This 48-nucleotide non-coding RNA is filed under the name Schistosoma curassoni. The record is from RNAcentral. Lineage: Eukaryota; Metazoa; Platyhelminthes; Trematoda; Strigeidida; Schistosomatidae.
AUCCAGCUGACGAGUUUCAAAUAGGAGGAAACGCGCGUCAAACUGGAU